UACUAGAGAAGGAAGCAAAGUACGAGAAUGGGACGCAGGGAAACCACAGUACUAACUAUGGUGAAAUACUACUUGCUCAGAGGGAGAGAAGUCUGGCAGCUGCAGCUGGGGCAGCACGGAGUUGGUGGGGGCGAAGACUCAGUAGAGUGUCAGACACCCUUGAUACUCAAGAAACAUCACGACAGCAUAAGAAGGAAAAUGUUCUGUGAGAGGCACUGUCAAGGUUUAUCUGCACAGAGAAGGCCAAGUCCAGUUGGCGUCUGGAAAAAGAUAAAGGGGCAUACAAGAGUGAAAAGUACAGAGGACCUGUGAUAUCCAUUUACUUCUCAAUCUGCCAUUUCUUAUAUCCAUCAAUGACUGUUUUACCACCAUUACUUCCAUAUCUGUUGUUGAUUAUUUCUUGUGUCCACCAUCAUGUCACCACCUGUAUCACGUCAUGUAUGUUACUAUCAAUCAUCAGCUUCAGUCUACCAGAACACACCUAGUGAGAGGUUCUCAAAUGAGAUCUCUGCUAAUUUUGUGUCUUAUUUACUUUAUUUCUGCAACAAAACUCACAGCCCAUGUCUGAAAAGUGAAGUAAGGAAGUUAAGAAGCCAAGAGUAUUCCACACUUUGGAAACAAAAUUGAAAAUUAUUACUGAUUCUGAAGAUGGUAAAUGAGCAGUCAUGUUGGAUGUGAACACAGAAUACAACUUAAAACAAUAAGAUCAACUGUAGCUGAUAAAAUAUAAAGAAGCUACAAAAUUAACAGUAAUUAAAUGUCUAAGAACCAGAAAAAAAUUUGUUCCUGAAAAUGGAGAAGUUAGUGUUUAUUUGGAUAUCCAAUCAGUAAGCUAAGGACAAUAAUGUGAAUUCUACUUUGACAAGGCAGAAGGCUAAGAGAUUUUUUAUCAGUCAUAAGGCCAGACUUUAAUGGUGUUUAUUUGCCACAAAAUGUAAUUUAGAACUCAAGUUUACAACUUGUUAGGAACAAACUAUCAUUAUAAGAUGCAAGUAUCGAUAUCCACUGUUUCCCUAUUGGUCACGCUUUUAAGGGACCAAUUAACAACAGACAUCAAGUGGUCCUAGACCCCACAUUUCAUGGAAGAAGUUCAUGAGGUAACAAAGUUCAGAAAUCAGACCUAAGGUUUAAUUCCCAGUAACUCUUGCAGUAAUCUGGAGUUAGUGUGGGUUAUAAACAAUGUCUUCAUGUGCAGACCACUAUCUGCGAUUACUGAGUGAAUAAGCACAUUAGAUGCAAUUAUAAUUCUCUAAUACUUGAGGAAAUUUUGUCAUCAGAGUCAUUCAAUCAUCAACCACACAUGAGAUGGAAACAUAAACUCAGAUGUAACAGCAAAUAUAUUCGUCAAAAAAUACAGUAAAAGACAAGAUUAUUUUGGUCAUCUUCCUGUAAAGUUAAUCCACUAUAUUAAGAACUGAGGCCAGUUGUUACUGUUCUGUAAUAACCUCUGCCAUACAGAAGUAGUACUGAUAAAGGAACCCAGUCUAUUAAAACCCUUAAUUCGGCUCUAGUUUAGCAAUGUAGCGGUGGUUUCUGCCUUCCUAGCCAAAAAAUUAGGCAUUGAUAUGCCACUUUUUCUUUUUAAUACACAAUUAUAUUUUCCACUUUCUUUGCUAAUAAUUAAGUUCUUGCAAAAGAAACUACCCUUAACAUCAGUAACUAAGGUCACUGUUACCUGACCCCUUAACACUCCACAAAUUCCAAUAAAUUUGAUGUGGAUCAGAAUCCACAGAUCUUCGAACCAUUUAAUUUAGAAGAAAAAUUACAACCUGGAUACCCACAAUGUAAUAUUUGAGGUCAAAACAUGCCAUAAUAAUGGGCCAAAUUUAUAAUAACAUAUCAUCAUAACUAGAAUAUUUAUGUAUUUUAUUGGGGCUAUGAAAAACGUUUAAAUUCCUUAAAAAUGUCUUGUCCAGGUGCUAUAUGAUCAAUAUUUAUAUCUAUCUCCAAUAUAAAUUCACCUUUUUUAAAAAACAUGCCUCAAUUAACACAUAAUGAAUUUCAAGUGAUCAAUGCAGGGAUGAUUAAAGAAAUUCCAAAUUAUACACUGGAUUACAAAGUAAUAUUCUCAUUCACAAUUUUUUUAAGAAUAUAAUCAAAAUUUGACUAAACAGUUCAAUAUUGUUAUUAACUAAUAAAUGAAGCAAAGUACAGUACCAGCUUCCUUAGCAGCCAGCCCCAAACCCAGAACUUUCACAAAUAAAAAUGCAACUUCAUCUGGUAUCAUUUUUCUUUACAAUACAAUGGUUACAUGUACUUCUCACUGUCAUCUCUACGAUUCUUUACUUUGUGUGGCAUAUGAUCACAGGUCUCCCAAACAAGAAAAUAAAAAAUUAAAACAGCAACUAAACUGUGUCGUAUUUAGCAUUGUGUGGUCCAGUGAUCUUGUGUAUUACGGACUGACUGCCCAUUCCCAGCAAAUAGUGGACCACAGAUGUUUAGGCUUCUCAGGAACAUUUAUAGCAAAAAUAUGCAACAUAAAUGUUUGAAAUAAACAGUCUUAAUUUUUGGAGUGUGGUCUUCUGGGUUAUGACACCAUCACUACUGCGAAACCCUCAAGUCUCAUACAGUUUGAACAAAUAUUCUGCUCAAUUCUGGCAGCAUAGUUCAUUCAGUAACACACAACAAAUCAAACAAAAGCUGCCUGAUAUUCCAACUUAUUACAGCUCAAGUGCUCUUACCAUUUUUAAUUUAAGGAUGCCUAUGUUACUGCCGACACUAGACACACAAAUGUUUUGUACAAAAUUUGUCAUUCUUUUCACUCUGUCAUAGUCCUUUUAUAAAGUUAAUAGGAAUUUUUACUCACUGAAUUCUAAUUCCUUCACAGUGAAAAUGAUUUUUGUAUUUUGUCUGGUUAUGUUAAUUAUAAGAACUUGUCAAGAACAUUCAGUGUCACAAAUCUAAAUAAUAAUUCCUGGAAAUAAAUCUAACUAAACAUUUCUCACGUUCAGUUUCUGUGAAAAACAGUCUUCACCUGAACAAUAUAUGUUAAUCUAUUACUGUGAAAGCAGAAAACGCAGUGAUCAGUGGUAAUCACCAAACUCUUAACAAGUGGACAGAAGAGAUAUACCAUGCCUGUAUUUUGUUAAUAUUACAAGGUGCAUGAUCCUGUUUGUUUUAUGUAAAAUGUGUCAAUGUUCACCUCACCCUGUACAUAAAUGCCAUGCAGUAAUGGGUUAUAUGCAAUGCGGACCAAAUGCAGUUCAGAUAGAGGCAAAGGAAGAUGAAACUGUUAUACAUUUUGUUCAAAUAUCAAAACUUCAAGACAUGUAUCACAGCACAAUCAAGUUAAACAACUGUAACGCCAUCUUACUUUAAACACAGGAAAUCACAUGUUCAUCUGGGAUAGCAGUUUAGUUUUUCUUUGUGAAAAAUGAGCAAGAAGCAGUUCAUACAGAUGACCCAGGGGCAAAUUCACAUGAUGUCAGCAACACAAACCAUUCGGCAGCCUUUAUUCACAAGGACGGUAUAAAUAUUUACUGAGUAUUGAAACCAAAAUUGUAAUUUACAACUUCAGUUUUGCAUAGUGAUGAAAAGACUGACAGUAAUAAUUCUGAUUCAUGAUCAUUUGAAUAAAUAAAUGUAAGAAUUCCAUUUCUAUAUUAUCAGAAAAAUAAAUAUGUGAUGCACUGAAAAAGUUGACACAGUAUGUGGUGAUAAAAAUCGUGCAUUAGCUUAUCAUCAUCAUUCACAAAAAACUGAUUUAAUUAAUAAUAAUAAUGUACACCAAUUGUAAAUUGUGAAUAUUGAUGAGUUAGGAAUAACAGGGAAAUAAUUUUAAUUGAAUAACAAACUGCAAUUUGGAAAGAAUGUGACAAGUAGCCACGGACAAUUUUAAGAUACUGUCACAGAAUUUGCAUUAACAGACUCAGAAAGACAAAGAAAGUCUUCUGCCACCUCGAUGAACUACAUUAAUUAUGGUUAAGUUGCUAUUCAACAGUGUACCUAUAUGUCAAUAAUUAAGUCACAUAUAUUUUAUAUAAUUAAAAAAUAAUUUGGUGAUUACCAAUUUUCACUGAUAAUUUUCAAUGUUGCCUAUGUAUCAAUAAAACAGGAGAAGAAAUGAGCAUUAUAGUACAUACAAACAUACGAGUAAAUGGUUUUAAUGUCAAAGUCUGUACAAGCUGUUCAAUAUAAAAACAGACUAGUCACGUGAUACAAUAGAAAAAAUUUUAUAACACAUUACUCACUAGAACAGCCUUUUUUACACUUUUUUCUCAUACCAUAACCAAAUUAAAAUGUACUGCAUUUCUAGAUUAUUUAAUGACACUCUCACAACUCCAGAAGUUAAGCCAUGUUGCACGAGAUGAUGACUGAAUGUGGUGAAUUAGAGAGCAUUGUGGGAAGACAAAGUUUUAGCCACAUUCAAGAUAUUAGAUAUUUUCUCAUUCACCUAAAAUGAAUGAGAAAAGCUAUGGCAGGUAAGGAUAGAAUAUCCAGUGCCUCAGUCAAGUUUUAUACCAGGUAAAUCCUGAAUACAAACGUGUUUGGUCCACCAUCAAGUUUCUUUUGCAACACCAAAUUAACUCACACAUGACCACAUAAUGGGGCUAAUAUUAUAAAAAAAAACAAUUUACAGAAAACUUUUGAGAAACAGCUGAUAAAUCCCACUUCAAAGGUCAUGAAGAUGUGUUUACUUUGGUUAUGGCAUGGUAAUUUAGCAUUUUUUAAAAAAUUAUUGGUGUUUAUAUUGCCUCUUUCUUCUCCUAAUGUCUUGUUACUAAUCUCUCUUUACAUGACUUUGGUGUGUAUAUAUGUUCAUAUCCAUGGUAUUUAUAACAAAGAUAUUUUCAUACCUAAACCAAAUAAUGUGCAUUGAUUAUUUCUAUUCACAAAUCAGACUAUAAUGUAUAAUAAAAUAAAUAUUCAAUUUACUUAUA
This is a non-coding RNA of Zootermopsis nevadensis, 4880 nucleotides long. NCBI's taxonomy places the organism in Eukaryota, Metazoa, Arthropoda, Insecta, Blattodea, Termopsidae. The record is from RefSeq and is a predicted model, not a curated record.